CGCGUAGGUGGUUUGGUCAGUCAGAUGUGAGAGCCCUGGGCUUAACCUGGGAAUUGCAUUUGAUACUGCCAGACUAGAGUAUGGUAGAGGGAAGUGGAAUUCCGGGUGUAGCGGUGAAAUGCGUAGAUAUCCGGAGGAACAUCAGUGGCGAAGGCGGCUUCCUGGACCAAUACUGACACUGAGGUGCGAAAGCGUGGGUAGCAAACA
This 207-nucleotide ribosomal RNA is filed under the name uncultured bacterium. Its description in RNAcentral is "partial 16S ribosomal RNA". It matches the Rfam family "Bacterial small subunit ribosomal RNA", at positions 568 to 774 of the family's 1533-position model. The record is from RNAcentral.